This 73-nucleotide transfer RNA is filed under the name Ferroglobus placidus DSM 10642. Its description in RNAcentral is "tRNA-Thr (CGT) (tRNA-Thr-CGT-1-1)". It matches the Rfam family "tRNA". Rfam says of the family: Transfer RNA (tRNA) molecules are approximately 80 nucleotides in length. RNAcentral also lists the same sequence under 1 other name. The record is from Rfam by way of RNAcentral. Lineage: Archaea; Methanobacteriati; Methanobacteriota; Archaeoglobi; Archaeoglobales; Archaeoglobaceae.
GCCGCCGUGGCUCAGCUGGUAGAGCGGGUGACUCGUAAUCACCAGGUCCCGGGUUCAAAUCCCGGCGGCGGCU